This 569-nucleotide ribosomal RNA is filed under the name uncultured Gammaproteobacteria bacterium. Its description in RNAcentral is "bacterial SSU rRNA". It matches the Rfam family "Bacterial small subunit ribosomal RNA", at positions 38 to 641 of the family's 1533-position model. The record is from RNAcentral. Lineage: Bacteria; Pseudomonadati; Pseudomonadota; Gammaproteobacteria.
GGCGGCAUGCUUAACACAUGCAAGUCGAACGUGAAAGCACUUCGGUGUGAGUAGAGUGGCGGACGGGUGAGUAACGCGUGGGAAUCUGCCCAGUAGUGGGGGACAACUACCGGAAACGGUAGCUAAUACCGCAUACGCCCUAUGGGGGAAAGGCUUCGGCCGCUAUUGGAUGAGCCCGCGUCAGAUUAGCUAGUUGGUAGGGUAAAGGCCUACCAAGGCAACGAUCUGUAGCUGGUCUGAGAGGACGAUACAGCCACACUGGGACUGAGACACGGCCCAGACUCCUACGGGAGGCAGCAGUGGGGAAUAUUGGACAAUGGGCGAAAGCCUGAUCCAGCAAUGCCGCGUGUGUGAAGAAGGCCUGCGGGUUGUAAAGCACUUUCAGUUGGGAAGAUGAUGACGUUACCAACAGAAGAAGCACCGGCUAAAUCCGUGCCAGCAGCCGCGGUAAUACGGAUGGUGCGAGCGUUAAUCGGAAUUACUGGGCGUAAAGCGCGCGUAGGCGGCUAAGUCAGUCAGAAGUGAAAGCCCCGGGCUCAACCUGGGAAUUGCUUUUGAUACUGCUUGGC